CUUGGUCAUUUAGAGGAAGUAAAAGUCGUAACAAGGUUUCCGUAGGUGAACCUGCGGAAGGAUCAUUAUUGAAAAUAAACCUGAUGGGGUUGCUGCUGGCUCUCCAGGGAGCAUGUGCACGCCUUGUCAUCUUUAUAUCUCCACCUGUGCACCUUUUGUAGACAUCCUUUCCAGGUUGUCUAUGUUUGAUUCUUCAUGUGCCCCAAAUAAAAAUGUAUGUCAAUAGAAUGUUGUGAUAAAUAAAAUCUAUACAACUUUCAGCAACGGAUCUCUUGGCUCUCGCAUCGAUGAAGAACGCAGCGAAAUGCGAUAAGUAAUGUGAAUUGCAGAAUUCAGUGAAUCAUCGAAUCUUUGAACGCACCUUGCGCUCCUUGGUAUUCCGAGGAGCAUGCCUGUUUGAGUGUCAUUAAUAUUAUAUAUCAAACCUCUGUGUUUGGAUGUGGGGGUUGCUGGCCUCUUUGAAAGAGGUCAGCUCUCCUGAAAUGCAUUAGCAGAACAACCUGUUUCGUUCAUUGGUGUGAUAACUAUCUACGCUAUAGAACCGUGAAGGCAGUUCAGCUUUCUAACUGUCCUUUGGGACAAUUCAUUAUCUAUGUGACCUCAAAUCAGGUAGGACUACCCGCUGAACUUAAGCAUAUCAAUAAGCGGAGGAAAAGAAACUAACAAGGAUUCCCCUAGUAACUGCGAGUGAAGCGGGAAAAGCUCAAAUUUAAAAUCUGGCGGUCGUUUGGCUGUCCGAGUUGUAAUCUAGAGAAGUGUUAUCCGCGCUGGACCGUGUACAAGUCUCCUG
Molecule: ribosomal RNA, 790 nt
Filed under: uncultured Cortinarius
Lineage: Eukaryota; Fungi; Basidiomycota; Agaricomycetes; Agaricales; Cortinariaceae
Description: eukaryotic LSU rRNA
Rfam family: 5.8S ribosomal RNA (bases 253-406)
Source: RNAcentral